Molecule: long non-coding RNA, 2675 nt
Organism: Tyto alba (common barn owl)
Lineage: Eukaryota; Metazoa; Chordata; Aves; Strigiformes; Tytonidae
Exons: 4
Source: RefSeq, a predicted model, not a curated record
UGUCACCGUCCCGCCAACGCCGCUGGGAUGUGAGGGAGGGAGAGCAGCAAAGGUUACCACUUUUGGUAUCUGUUUGUGCCUGGAGAUGGUUUAAAAGCACUCCAGAAUAUGCUAUUAAAAAAAAAAAAAAAAAGAAAAAACUAGCCAGACCACACCUGAAGGACCAGACAUAGCAUUAGGCAAAACCAAUUUCUCUUACAAGGCAGAUAUUCAAGUACUGAAAAAAAAAAAAAAACAAUAAAAGAGAACGGCUUUGUUCAUUGUGGACGGUGGAGCAGAAUUCUCACGUGCGCUAAAGCCACAUACCAGCUCAAUUGUGCUUUUAAUGUGUUUUACUUUAUGGCAAAGCAGAAGCCCAACUAGAAACUUCAGUUUCAAAUGGCCCCCAGUAUACACCUAUUAUAUCAUGGUAAAGUGAUUUUCUGAACGUCUGGGAUAAUUAUUUGUCUGUUAGCGACCUUUAGAAGGUAACAGGCUAGUGGUUACACAACGGUGUUCCCCGUUCAGUCUCAGGCAAGUAGUUUUCCCUAUUAAGGGUUUUCACUUUUCAAAUAUGAAUUCCAUCUGUAGUGCUCAUUUCAUUCUAAUUAUUAAUGUUCCAUAAAGCUUAAGGUUGCUUUUGGCUGUGUACAUCGCCCUACUGAAGAAAGUGUGCAUCACAUAUUUAGGGUUUUAUACCUAGCUAAGAAAUUUUUUACAGAUCUGUUCCUUUAGGGGGAAAAAAAAAAAAAAAAAAAAAAAAGAUGUAAUACAGAACUGUGUGUAUAGGUUUUCUGUUAACUCCAUAUGAAGGUCAUGCGCAGUCCAGGGCCAUGGUGGUAAAGUUUAAUUAAUACAUGUAUGUUACUGACUUUCUAAUGACUCUUUUUGAUCUAUACUAGUUAUUCCCAUGGUUUCUUCUUGUGCUUCACUGCCUUUCUCCUCUUUCUCAUCUCUGCCUCUUCAGGAUUCCUCUUCUCACCAGUCCCUCUUACCCACUCCCUUGCUGCAAUGCUGCAUCUCCUUCCUCCCUCCAACCCCCCGGACUCUGCUGAUUCUCCGUGCUUCGUCAGCAGUGUCGGUGCACUUCACUAGUAAGACACCCUUGUCCCACAGUUUGUCACAAAAGCUCGGAUAGCUGUUACUAGUUACGGCAUCUAUUCUUUUCCGUGGGCAUUUUAUCUGAAAUAAAGCUUGAAAUUAUACGAUCUGGGGAUGCACACGGUACAGAUGAGCGGCUUGAGUGUUGGUGUUCAUUUCGGUAGCUGCUGUAUCAGACCACAUCUGAUGGGGAAAUCCAUCAACGCAACUGGUUUUGAAUAGGCUGUUUUAAGAGAACUGCUCUAAAUGAGCGGCGCCCUGUGUGAUCAUCGUCUUAAGACCUUCUUUACAUGAGUUUAUAAAGUGCCUCAUCCAUUCAGGAUGGUUGUAAACAGAAAUAGAAACACAUUACUUCCUUCAACAAUAGCUGUAGCAGUUUUGAUUUAGUAUUUCAGAGUUGUCACUAUGGGAUGCUUGAGGCCAUUCCCAUUGAAGCCAGAGGCAGAGUUUUUAUUGAUCUCAACAAGAAUGACGUAGGUACCGGGUUCCUUAGGCUAUUUGAAACUAUACAAAUAUUUGGAUGGAAAAUAAGGGCAAGAACGUGAAUAACAUUUUCAUUUGGAGUCGUGGCUAGGCAGAUGGUGUGCUGAAUUCUGUGAUAUACUUCAUUGUGACAUUUACGUAGGAAUAGAUACUUUAUUUAUACAUGAAAACUUUUGAAGGCCACUGCAGUCUUGCGUUUAGACUACAGUUUGGAGUGCUGACAGGGAACUGAAGUUCCCCUCUCCCUGCUGCCGAUAUCCAUGGGAGAAGGCACAAAUGGAGCUUUCCCUACUGGAGACACUUACAUUUCCGUUCUCCCCUGAAAAAAAAUGUUUAAAAAGCAGCCUCUCAACAUGAGCCUUUAAUGUUAUUUUCAAAGGCUGAGGUUUGAAACUGAAAAGAGGUUUGGUUUCCAGUGUAUUGCCACCAGGGCUGAAAUUACAUUGCCACAGCUAAGGAAGGUCAUUUUUAUUUAGUCAGUUCUCCCAUCAUCAGAGGUAGUGCACUGGGGUGGGACCAUUACUGAGCCGUUAGAGCUCUGUCAUUUAACUUUGCUGUCCUGUCAUAAGAAGGGUGAGGGCAUGUCAGUUUGUCCUUUGCGAUGUAGCACAGACACAAUGCCAACUCUCAAAAGUCUGCGAAACAAAGGUUUUUGCAGCAGUUUUCAUUCAGUCUACUUUUUUUUUUUUUUUUUUUCCCCCCGCAGCUCUGAUGUUUCCAGUCUCACAGAAAAUCAAAAUGCAGUUUGACUGGAAGUACUUAUCCAUCUUCAUUUGCCUUUUGUUCAUAAAGCUCCCAUCAUCAUUAAAAUUCAGGAGGACUUACUAGUGAGGCAGAAACUUUGGAUUUCAAAGAAGUGAAGCUGGUUUGGAGCAGAGGACCGUCAGGGAUGUCCAAGUCUGGACUGUGUUACCUCUGCAUCCGUCUCUGUUGCAAUGUCAGCAAGCACAAGCCGGGAUGGCGUGCAGAUUGUUUUAAUUUGCACCGGGGACUGUCUUUGGCUCUAUGAAUAAGGAAGCACCUUUAAAUAUUUCCUGCCUCUGCUGACCUGAGUGCUCCUGAUUUCCAGCUCUGCACCGCAUGUCUGCGCUUGGCCAGCAGGAUCAGAGCUG